UGGGGAAUAUUGCACAAUGGGCGAAAGCCUGAUGCAGCAACGCCGCGUGAGUGAUGAAGGUCUUCGGAUUGUAAAGCUCUGUCUUUUGGGACGAUAAUGACGGUACCAAAGGAGGAAGCCACGGCUAACUACGUGCCAGCAGCCGCGGUAAUACGUAGGUGGCGAGCGUUGUCCGGAUUUACUGGGCGUAAAGGGUGCGUAGGCGGAUGUUUAAGUGAGAUGUGAAAUACCCGGGCUUAACUUGGGUGCUGCAUUUCAAACUGGAUAUCUAGAGUGCAGGAGAGGAGAAUGGAAUUCCUAGUGUAGCGGUGAAAUGCGUAGAGAUUAGGAAGAACACCAGUGGCGAAGGCGAUUCUCUGGACUGUAACUGACGCUGAGGCACGAAAGCGUAGGUAGCAAACAGGAUUAGAUACCCUGGUAGUCCACGCCGUAAACGAUGAGUACUAGGUGUAGGAGGUAUCGACCCCUUCUGUGCCGCAGUAAACACAUUAAGUACUCCGCCUGGGGAAGU
RNAcentral lists this ribosomal RNA (511 nucleotides) under uncultured bacterium. RNAcentral describes it as "partial 16S ribosomal RNA". It matches the Rfam family "Bacterial small subunit ribosomal RNA", at positions 355 to 882 of the family's 1533-position model. The record is from RNAcentral.